UUUUUGGGAAUCCUUCUGUCUUUUUUGAUUUGAAUACUUUUCUUCUUAUCAGAUAUUACUUUAAUAAAGCUUCUAGUUUGCGGAAAAUAAAAAUGAAAAGAAUAAAUAUAUAAGUAGCCUAAUUAAACAAAUAAACUUAAUAAGGAGCAGCAUGUAUCCCUUUAAUUGGACGUACACAGGUCCGUUACCUUUUGUUACCUGAUGAGCAUAUUCGAAAUUGUACAACUCGAGUUCUUGUUAUCUUCUUAAAGAAAAUCAUCCUUCUCUGUCGACGUUUCUCGGAUUUUGUAUCAACGUCCCACCCUCGUCACUGUCCGAAUCAUCUGUGGUGGUAACAUGAAUACAAUUGCACGCCUUUAACGAGGUGAGGAACGCAGCCAUGAUGCCGCUAAACAGCCGCAUAGCCACCUUGUUGCACUUCCUAGACCUGACUUCGGAAUUAUUGAUUGAUAGUGUACGGAAAUUUGAACUGGAUUUGUCACAACGUUCUUUACCGCAGCAUGUACAAGGGUUUGCAUUUUCCUCCAUUUGUUGGAUGAAAUGAAAAAAAUUCUCCUUGAGAGAAUUUUG
Molecule: long non-coding RNA, 570 nt
Filed under: Olea europaea subsp. europaea
Lineage: Eukaryota; Viridiplantae; Streptophyta; Magnoliopsida; Lamiales; Oleaceae
Source: RNAcentral